AAUGACACCAAGGUAGUGCAGUUCUUGUACCAGAAUAAUCCUGCACCUGUAGUCCAGCCUGGCUUGGGGGACCUUGCAGUCAUCAUGCGGCUUGCAUUGGAUUCAACCUACAAUGACUUCUAUGGCGCUCAGGAUUACCCUGUUGUGAAGUACUUGCGAAGACCCUUGUAUUUUGAGGUAGAGAUCCUGUACAGCAGGGAUCCACAGGCUGAAUUGUGUUUGGAGAACUGCUGGGCAACCUAUUCUGCUGACAGGAAUAGCUCUCCAAAGUGGGAUGUUGUUGUGGACAGUUGUGAGAACUCUGCAGAUGAGUACUUGACCAUCUUUCACCCAGUCUCCAGCAAUGCAAGAGUGCUGUUCCCUUCCCAUCUGAAGAGGUUUGAAGUGAAAAUGUUUUCCUUCAAGCGGCCGGGAUGCACUGAAAGGACAGAUUUACUUCCACUGCAGUGUUGUGAUAUGUGAUUCAAACCGGCCAUCAGACAGCCUCUGUAGGAGACGGUGCAUUCCAGGGAAACAGAGGCUUGGUCGCAGUGCUGAAGGGAUGGAUGGUGGUGCAUUAAAGGUGUUUGUGUCUUCUGGCCCAAUUGAGCUGAAGAGAGAUGGGUCCCUUCACUUUAUGCCUAGAAGUGGCCAAUUCAAUGUGUGGUCCCUUCUGGGAGCUGCAAUGGGUGUGUGUUCAGUGGUUAUCUUCGUAGCUGGAGUUGUAUCUUUCUGGAAACUGCCAAAAAGUGUGUAUUGAUAAAUAAAAAUCUUACUUGUAAAA
Long non-coding RNA from Acipenser ruthenus (sterlet), 763 nucleotides. RefSeq lists it as uncharacterized. The transcript has 6 exons. The record is from RefSeq and is a predicted model, not a curated record. NCBI's taxonomy places the organism in Eukaryota, Metazoa, Chordata, Actinopteri, Acipenseriformes, Acipenseridae.